This 510-nucleotide ribosomal RNA is filed under the name Drosophila capitata. RNAcentral describes it as "partial 16S ribosomal RNA". The record is from RNAcentral. Lineage: Eukaryota; Metazoa; Arthropoda; Insecta; Diptera; Drosophilidae.
AAGAAUUUAAAAGUCGAACAGACUUAAAAUUUGAACGGCUACACCCAAAAUUAUAUCUUAAUCCAACAUCGAGGUCGCAAUCUUUUUUAUCGAUAUGAACUCUCCAAAAAAAUUACGCUGUUAUCCCUAAAGUAACUUAAAUUUUUAAUCAUUAUUAAUGGAUCAAUUAUUCAUAAAUUAAUGGUUUUAAAAAUUAAAAGUUUUUUAAAUUUUAAUAUCACCCCAAUAAAAUAUUUUAAUUUAUUAUAAUAAAAAUAAUCUUUAUAAUUAAAAUAAACAAAAUAUAAAGAUUUAUAGGGUCUUCUCGUCUUUUAAAUUUAUUUUAGCUUUUUGACUAAAAAAUAAAAUUCUAUCAAAAAUUUAAAUGAAACAGUUAAUAUUUCGUCCAACCAUUCAUUCCAGCCUUCAAUUAAAAGACUAAUGAUUAUGCUACCUUUGCACAGUUAGAAUACUGCGGCCAUUUAAAAUUUUCAGUGGGCAGGUUAAACUUUAAAUUUAAUUCAAAAAGAC